RNAcentral lists this ribosomal RNA (253 nucleotides) under uncultured bacterium. RNAcentral's name for it is "partial 16S ribosomal RNA". It matches the Rfam family "Bacterial small subunit ribosomal RNA", at positions 524 to 776 of the family's 1533-position model. The record is from RNAcentral.
UACGUAGGGCGCAAGCGUUAUCCGGAAUUAUUGGGCGUAAAGAGCUCGUAGGCGGUUUGUCGCGUCUGCCGUGAAAGUCCGGGGCUCAACUCCGGUUCUGCAGUGGGUACGGGCAGACUAGAGUGCAGUAGGGGAGACUGGAAUUCCUGGUGUAGCGGUGAAAUGCGCAGAUAUCAGGAGGAACACCGAUGGCGAAGGCAGGUCUCUGGGCUGUAACUGACGCUGAGGAGCGAAAGCAUGGGGAGCGAACAGG